CCUACGGGAGGCAGCAGUGAGGAAUAUUGGUCAAUGGGCGGAAGGCUGAACCAGCCAAGCCGCGUGAAGGAAGAAGGUGCCAAGGAUUGUAAACUUCUUUUGUCAAGGAACAAAAUCAGGGACGAGAGCCUGACCGAGGGGAAUUGAGGAAAAAGCAACGGGUAACUCCGUGGCAGCAGCCGCGGUAAUACGGAGGAUGCGGACGUUAACCGGUUUUAUUGGGGUUAAAGGGUGCGUAGGCGGACUGUUAAGUCAGCGGUAAAAGCCCGGGGCUCAACCCCGGCGAGCCGUUGAAACGGGCUGUCUUGAGAUGUCGAGAGGAAUGCGGAAUGCGUGGUGUAGCGGUGAAAUGCUUAGAUAUUGCGCAGAACCCCGAUUGCGAAGGCAGCAUACCGGCGGCGAUCUGACGCUGAGGCACGAAAGCGUGGGUAUCGAACAGGAUUAGAUACCCCUGUAGUC
Molecule: ribosomal RNA, 459 nt
Filed under: uncultured bacterium
Lineage: Bacteria
Description: partial 16S ribosomal RNA
Rfam family: Bacterial small subunit ribosomal RNA
Source: RNAcentral